Molecule: ribosomal RNA, 433 nt
Filed under: uncultured bacterium
Lineage: Bacteria
Description: partial 16S ribosomal RNA
Rfam family: Bacterial small subunit ribosomal RNA
Source: RNAcentral
AACGAACGCUGGCGGCAUGCCUAACACAUGCAAGUCGAACGAUCCCUUCGGGGAUAGUGGCGCACGGGUGCGUAACGCGUGGGAACCUGCCCUUAGGUUCGGAAUAACUCAGAGAAAUUUGAGCUAAUACCGGAUAAUGUCUUCGGACCAAAGAUUUAUCGCCUUUGGAUGGGCCCGCGUUGGAUUAGCUAGUUGGCGGGGUAAAGGCCUACCAAGGCGACGAUCCAUAGCUGGUCUGAGAGGAUGAUCAGCCACACUGGGACUGAGACACGGCCCAGACUCCUACGGGAGGCAGCAGUGGGGAAUAUUGGACAAUGGGCGAAAGCCUGAUCCAGCAAUGCCGCGUGAGUGAUGAAGGCCUUAGGGUUGUAAAGCUCUUUUACCCGGGAUGAUAAUGACAGUACCGGGAGAAUAAGCCCCGGCUAACUCCGUG